RNAcentral lists this ribosomal RNA (477 nucleotides) under uncultured organism. RNAcentral's name for it is "partial 16S ribosomal RNA". It matches the Rfam family "Bacterial small subunit ribosomal RNA", at positions 333 to 801 of the family's 1533-position model. The record is from RNAcentral.
ACACUCCUGCGGGAGGCAGCAGUGGGGAAUAUUGCACAAUGGGCGCAAGCCUGAUGCAGCCAUGUCGCGUGUAUGAAGAAGGCCUUCGGGUUGUAAAGUACUUUCAGCGGGGAGGAAGGCAAUACGGUUAAUAACCGUGUUGAUUGACGUUACCCGCAGAAGAAGCACCGGCUAACUCCGUGCCAGCAGCCGCGGUAAUACGGAGGGUGCAAGCGUUAAUCGGAAUUACUGGGCGUAAAGCGCACGCAGGCGGUCUGUCAAGUCGGAUGUGAAAUCCCCGGGCUCAACCUGGGAACUGCAUUCGAAACUGGCAGGCUUGAGUCUUGUAGAGGGGGGUAGAAUUCCAGGUGUAGCGGUGAAAUGCGUAGAGAUCUGGAGGAAUACCGGUGGCGAAGGCGGCCCCCUGGACAAAGACUGACGCUCAGGUGCGAAAGCGUGGGGAGCAAACAGGAUUAGAUACCCUUGUAGUCCCAUGAU